Molecule: ribosomal RNA, 292 nt
Filed under: uncultured bacterium
Lineage: Bacteria
Description: partial 16S ribosomal RNA
Rfam family: Bacterial small subunit ribosomal RNA
Source: RNAcentral
GUGUCAGCCGCCGCGGUAAUACGGAGGGUGCAAGCGUUGUUCGGAAUCAUUGGGCGUAAAGGGCGCGUAGGCGGGUCGUUAAGUCCGACGUGAAAUCCCUCGGCUCAACUGAGGAAGUGCAUCGGAUACUGGCGGUCUUGAGUCCUGGAGAGGGUAGCGGAAUUCCCAGUGUAGAGGUGAAAUUCGUAGAUAUUGGGAGGAACACCGGUGGCGAAGGCGGCUACCUGGACAGUGACUGACGCUGAGGCGCGAAAGCAUGGGUAGCAAACAGGAUUAGAUACCCUAGUAGUCC